GCCGGGCAUGGUGGUGCGCACCUGUAGCCCCAGCUACUCAGGGUCUGAGGCCAGAGGAUGUCUUGAGCCCAGGAGUUCUGGACCUUAGCGCGCUAUGCCAAUCAGAUGUCUGCACUAAUUUUGGCAUCGGCAUGGUGACCUCUCGGCAGUGAGGGACCACUAGGUUGCCUAAGAAGGGGUGAAUCAGCACCGGCCAGAAACGGAGCAGGUCAGAACUCCCAUGCUGAUCAGCAGUGGGAACGUGCCUGAAAAUAGCCACCGCACUCCAGACUGGGUAACAUAGUGAGACCCCUUCUCUG
This is a non-coding RNA of Nomascus leucogenys (northern white-cheeked gibbon), 299 nucleotides long. It matches the Rfam family "Metazoan signal recognition particle RNA". From Rfam's summary of the family: The signal recognition particle (SRP) is a universally conserved ribonucleoprotein. The record is from Rfam. NCBI's taxonomy places the organism in Eukaryota, Metazoa, Chordata, Mammalia, Primates, Hylobatidae.